This 1355-nucleotide ribosomal RNA is filed under the name uncultured bacterium. Its description in RNAcentral is "bacterial SSU rRNA". It matches the Rfam family "Bacterial small subunit ribosomal RNA", at positions 28 to 1381 of the family's 1533-position model. The record is from RNAcentral.
AUUGAACGCUGGCGGCAGGCUUAACACAUGCAAGUCGAACGAUGAUUAUCUAGCUUGCUAGAUAUGAUUAGUGGCGGACGGGUGAGUAACAUUUAGGAAUCUGCCUAGUAGUGGGGGAUAGCUCGGGGAAACUCGAAUUAAUACCGCAUACGACCUACGGGUGAAAGGGGGCGCAAGCUCUUGCUAUUAGAUGAGCCUAAAUCAGAUUAGCUAGUUGGUGGGGUAAAGGCCCACCAAGGCGACGAUCUGUAACUGGUCUGAGAGGAUGAUCAGUCACACCGGAACUGAGACACGGUCCGGACUCCUACGGGAGGCAGCAGUGGGGAAUAUUGGACAAUGGGGGCAACCCUGAUCCAGCCAUGCCGCGUGUGUGAAGAAGGCCUUUUGGUUGUAAAGCACUUUAAGCAGGGAGGAGAGGCUAAUGGUUAAUACCCAUUAAAUUAGACGUUACCUGCAGAAUAAGCACCGGCUAACUCUGUGCCAGCAGCCGCGGUAAUACAGAGGGUGCGAGCGUUAAUCGGAAUUACUGGGCGUAAAGCGAGUGUAGGUGGCUCAUUAAGUCACAUGUGAAAUCCCCGGGCUUAACCUGGGAACUGCAUGUGAUACUGGUGGUGCUAGAAUAUGUGAGAGGGAAGUAGAAUUCCAGGUGUAGCGGUGAAAUGCGUAGAGAUCUGGAGGAAUACCGAUGGCGAAGGCAGCUUCCUGGCAUAAUAUUGACACUGAGAUUCGAAAGCGUGGGUAGCAAACAGGAUUAGAUACCCUGGUAGUCCACGCCGUAAACGAUGUCUACUAGCCGUUGGGGUCCUUGAGACUUUAGUGGCGCAGUUAACGCGAUAAGUAGACCGCCUGGGGAGUACGGCCGCAAGGUUAAAACUCAAAUGAAUUGACGGGGGCCCGCACAAGCGGUGGAGCAUGUGGUUUAAUUCGAUGCAACGCGAAGAACCUUACCUGGUCUUGACAUAGUGAGAAUCCUGCAGAGAUGCGGGAGUGCCUUCGGGAAUUCACAUACAGGUGCUGCAUGGCUGUCGUCAGCUCGUGUCGUGAGAUGUUGGGUUAAGUCCCGCAACGAGCGCAACCCUUUUCCUUAUUUGCCAGCGGGUUAAGCCGGGAACUUUAAGGAUACUGCCAGUGACAAACUGGAGGAAGGCGGGGACGACGUCAAGUCAUCAUGGCCCUUACGACCAGGGCUACACACGUGCUACAAUGGUAGGUACAGAGGGUUGCUACACAGCGAUGUGAUGCUAAUCUCAAAAAGCCUAUCGUAGUCCGGAUUGGAGUCUGCAACUCGACUCCAUGAAGUCGGAAUCGCUAGUAAUCGCAGAUCAGAAUGCUGCGGUGAAUACGUUCCCGGGCCU